GCGAAGUGGUUGAUGCCAUGCUUCCAGGAAAAGCUUCUAAGCUUCAGGUAACUAGGAACCGUACCCCAAACCGACACAGGUGGUUAGGUAGAGAAUACCAAGGCGCUUGAGAGAACUCGGGUGAAGGAACUAGGCAAAAUGGCACCGUAACUUCGGGAGAAGGUGCGCCGGUGAGGGUGAAGUAUUUACUACGUAAGCCCAUGCCGGUCGAAGAUACCAGGCCGCUGCGACUGUUUAUUAAAAACACAGCACUCUGCAAACACGAAAGUGGACGUAUAGGGUGUGACGCCUGCCCGGUGCCGGAAGGUUAAUUGAUGGGGUUAGCGCAAGCGAAGCUCUUGAUCGAAGCCCCGGUAAACGGCGGCCGUAACUAUAACGGUCCUAAGGUAGCGAAAUUCCUUGUCGGGUAAGUUCCGACCUGCACGAAUGGCGUAACGAUGGCGGCGCUGUCUCCACCCGAGACUCAGUGAAAUUGAAAUCGCUGUGAAGAUGCAGUGUAUCCGCGGCUAGACGGAAAGACCCCGUGAACCUUUACUAUAGCUUUGCACUGGACUUUGAGCUUGCUUGUGUAGGAUAGGUGGGAGGCUUUGAAGUGGGGACGCCAGUUCUCAUGGAGCCAUCCUUGAAAUACCACCCUGGCAACCUUGAGGUUCUAACUCUGGUCCGUUAUCCGGAUCGAGGACAGUGUAUGGUGGGUAGUUUGACUGGGGCGGUCUCCUCCCAAAGAGUAACGGAGGAGUACGAAGGUGCGCUCAGACCGGUCGGAAAUCGGUCGUAGAGUAUAAAGGCAAAAGCGCGCUUGACUGCGAGACAGACACGUCGAGCAGGUACGAAAGUAGGUCUUAGUGAUCCGGUGGUUCUGUAUGGAAGGGCCAUCGCUCAACGGAUAAAAGGUACUCCGGGGAUAACAGGCUGAUACCGCCCAAGAGUUCAUAUCGACGGCGGUGUUUGGCACCUCGAUGUCGGCUCAUCACAUCCUGGGGCUGAAGCCGGUCCCAAGGGUAUGGCUGUUCGCCAUUUAAAGUGGUACGCGAGCUGGGUUUAGAACGUCGUGAGACAGUUCGGUCCCUAUCUGCCGUGGACGUUUGAGAUUUGAGAGGGGCUGACCUUAGUACGAGAGGACCGGGUUGGACGAACCUCUGGUGUUCCGGUUGUCACGCCAGUGGCAUUGCCGGGUAGCUAUGUUCGGAAAAGAUAACCGCUGAAAGCAUCUAAGCGGGAAACUUGCCUCAAGAUGAGAUCUCACUGGAGCCUUGAGCUCCCUGAAGGGCCGUCGAAGACUACGACGUUGAUAGGUGGGGUGUGUAAGCGCUGUGAGGCGUUGAGCUAACCCAUACUAAUUGCCCGUGAGGCUUGACCAU
RNAcentral lists this ribosomal RNA (1361 nucleotides) under groundwater metagenome. Its description in RNAcentral is "bacterial LSU rRNA". It matches the Rfam family "Bacterial large subunit ribosomal RNA", at positions 1585 to 2925 of the family's 2925-position model. The record is from RNAcentral.